GGGACAUUAGCUCAAUUGGUAGAGCAGUGGACUCUUAAUCCAUUGGCUCUCGGUUCAAGUCCGAGAUGUCCCACCC
This 76-nucleotide transfer RNA is filed under the name Myxococcaceae bacterium. Its description in RNAcentral is "tRNA-Lys". It matches the Rfam family "tRNA". From Rfam's summary of the family: Transfer RNA (tRNA) molecules are approximately 80 nucleotides in length. The record is from RNAcentral. Lineage: Bacteria; Pseudomonadati; Myxococcota; Myxococcia; Myxococcales; Myxococcaceae.